RNAcentral lists this transfer RNA (79 nucleotides) under Bacillus phage vB_BspM_MarvelLand. RNAcentral describes it as "tRNA-Ile". It matches the Rfam family "tRNA". From Rfam's summary of the family: Transfer RNA (tRNA) molecules are approximately 80 nucleotides in length. Their secondary structure includes four short double-helical elements and three loops (D, anti-codon, and T loops). Lineage: Duplodnaviria; Heunggongvirae; Uroviricota; Caudoviricetes; Herelleviridae. The record is from RNAcentral.
UUCCCCUUUAGCCAAGCGGUUCAAGGCAGUGGGAUUAUGUCCUGCGAAUCGGAAGUUCGAAUCUUCCAAGGGGUGCAAA